GACUAUGCCAUGGCCCAUCCACUGGUAUUGUAACUAUGUCCUUACCCCAUCUCCAGGAAGGAAUGCACAAGGUGUAUCCUAGGAAAGAUUUCCUCCUAACCUUUACAAAGCCUCCAUGAUAACUUGCUGACACACUUUCACUAUCAAGUACCUAUAACAGUAUCUUUCUUGAGAACAAAAGGAACUCUUUUCUGGAGUCUGUAAGGGAAGAAUGCUUUUCUAACACAUCUACUUUUUCUAUUGAGUGUUCGCAAUUUGUCAGACACAAGCGAAAGACACAUAUUGUACUUUAAAAAAAAAGAAAAAAAAAGAGGCAUUGUCUGCUCCUUCACAGAGCCUAUAUUUUAGUGGGGGAAUUACUGAUUUCAGGAAAUGCAAGUAAAAUGAACAGAAGGAAAUCCACACUUGGAAACAUUAUAAUAAUAUUGAAGAAAACCUAGGACAGAGAGAAAAAGCUAAUAGUAGCCAAAGAGAAAAGAAAGAUGACUUACAGAGUUUGCAACACUAUAAAGAGUAUAAACAACCAGCAGAAUAAUAUCCUCCAAGUUCCAAGAAAGGAGGAAAACAUCCUGUCAAUUUAGAGUUAGAUAC
This 591-nucleotide long non-coding RNA is filed under the name Homo sapiens (human). RNAcentral's name for it is "non-protein coding lnc-ADGRL2-10:5". The record is from RNAcentral. Lineage: Eukaryota; Metazoa; Chordata; Mammalia; Primates; Hominidae.